RNAcentral lists this ribosomal RNA (391 nucleotides) under uncultured bacterium. RNAcentral describes it as "bacterial SSU rRNA". It matches the Rfam family "Bacterial small subunit ribosomal RNA", at positions 28 to 420 of the family's 1533-position model. The record is from RNAcentral.
GACGAACGCUGGCGGCGUGCUUAACACAUGCAAGUCGAGCGGUAAGGCCCUUUCGGGGGUACACGAGCGGCGAACGGGUGAGUAACACGUGGGUGACCUGCCCUCAGCUCUGGGAUAAGCCUGGGAAACUGGGUCUAAUACCGGAUAUGACUCCAUGACGCAUGUUGUGGGGUGGAAAGCCUUGUGCGGCUGAGGAUGGGCCCGCGGCCUAUCAGCUUGUUGGUGGGGUGAUGGCCUACCAAGGCGACGACGGGUAGCCGGCCUGAGAGGGCGACCGGCCACACUGGGACUGAGACACGGCCCAGACUCCUACGGGAGGCAGCAGUGGGGAAUCUUGCGCAAUGGGCGAAAGCCUGACGCAGCGACGCCGCGUGAGGGAUGACGGCCUGGU